CGCCCUUAGAGUUUGAUCCUGGCUCAGAACGAACGCUGGCGGCGUGCUUAACACAUGCAAGUCGAACGGGAUCCAGAGCUUGCUCUGGUGAGAGUGGCGCACGGGUGAGUAACGCGUGGAUAACCUGCCCUGGUAUCUGGAAUAACAUCUCGAAAGGGGUGCUAAUACCGGAUAAGCCUACGGAGCCUUCGGUCUCUGCAGGAAAAGGUGGCCUCUAUUUAUAAGCUACCGUAUCAGGAUAGGUCCGCGUACCAUUAGCUAGUUGGUAGGGUAAUGGCCUACCAAGGCUACGAUGGUUAGCUGGUCUGAGAGGAUGAUCAGCCACACUGGAACUGAGACACGGUCCAGACUCCUACGGGAGGCAGCAGUGGGGAAUUUUGCGCAAUGGGGGAAACCCUGACGCAGCAACGCCGCGUGAGUGAUGAAGGCUUUCGGGUCGUAAAGCUCUGUCAGUAGGGAAGAAAUGAGACGUGCUAAUACCACGUUUUCUUGACGGUACCUA
RNAcentral lists this ribosomal RNA (502 nucleotides) under uncultured Geobacteraceae bacterium. RNAcentral's name for it is "bacterial SSU rRNA". It matches the Rfam family "Bacterial small subunit ribosomal RNA", at positions 1 to 481 of the family's 1533-position model. Lineage: Bacteria; Pseudomonadati; Thermodesulfobacteriota; Desulfuromonadia; Geobacterales; Geobacteraceae. The record is from RNAcentral.